CUUCACAAUGUGCGAAAGCGCGAUGAGGGAAUCCCAAGUGCAUGCACGUAAGUGUAUGCUGUUUCUUUGUUUAAAAAGCAUAGAGAGUAAGGGCUGGGUAAGACGGGUGCCAGCCGCCGCGGUAAUACCUGCAGCUCAAGUGGUGAUCGUUAUUAUUGGGCCUAAAACGUCCGUAGCCGGUUUAGUAAAUGCCUGGGUAAAUUGUGUAGCUCAACUAUACGAAUUCCGGGUAGACUGCUAAACUUGAGACCGGGAGAGGCUAGAGGUACUCCUGGGGUAGAGGUGAAAUUCUGUAAUCCUAGGGGGACCACCAGUGGCGAAGGCGUCUAGCUAGAACGGGUCUGACGGUGAGGGACGAAGCCCUGGGGCGCAAACCGGAUUAGAUACCCGGGUAGUCCAGGGUGUAAACGCUGCUUGCUUGAUGUUAGUCGGGCUCCGAGCCCGAUUAGUGUCGGAGAGAAGUUGUUAAGCAAGCUGCCUGGGAAGUACGGCCGCAAGACUGAAACUUAA
RNAcentral lists this ribosomal RNA (510 nucleotides) under uncultured archaeon 63-A3. RNAcentral's name for it is "bacterial SSU rRNA". It matches the Rfam family "Archaeal small subunit ribosomal RNA", at positions 348 to 859 of the family's 1478-position model. The record is from RNAcentral.